This 443-nucleotide ribosomal RNA is filed under the name uncultured bacterium. Its description in RNAcentral is "bacterial SSU rRNA". It matches the Rfam family "Bacterial small subunit ribosomal RNA", at positions 54 to 458 of the family's 1533-position model. The record is from RNAcentral.
CAUGCAAGUCGAACGAACCGAGGGGCUGUUGAUCGGGUUUCGGAAGGGUUCGUCCCGGAAGAGCCCGUGAGGUUCCUUGGUUAGUGGCGAACGGGUGAGUAACACGUAGGUGACCUGCCCCGAAGAGGGGGACAACCACUGGAAACGGUGGCUAAUACCCCAUGUGGUCCCGCAUUCGUUUGCGGGAUUAAAGGCUCCGGCGCUUCGGGAGGGGCCUGCGGCCUAUCAGCUAGUUGGUAGGGUAAUGGCCUACCAAGGCGAUGACGGGUAGCUGGUCUGAGAGGACGGACAGCCACACUGGCACUGAGACACGGGCCAGACUCCUACGGGAGGCAGCAGUGAGGAAUAUUGCGCAAUGGGGGAAACCCUGACGCAGCAACGCCGUGUGGGCGAAGAAGGUCUUCGGAUCGUAGAGCCCUUUUCUCCCGGACGAGAAAGGACGG